GGACUACUGGGGUAUCUAAUCCUGUUCGCUCCCCAUGCUUUCGCUUCUCAGCGUCAGUUAUGGCCCAGAGACCUGCCUUCGCCAUCGGUGUUCCUCCUGAUAUCUGCGCAUUUCACCGCUACACCAGGAAUUCCAGUCUCCCCUACCACACUCUAGUCUGCCCGUACCCACUGCAAGUUCGGGGUUAAGCCCCGAAAUUUCACAGCAGACGCGACAAACCGCCUACAAGCUCUUUACGCCCAAUAAUUCCGGACAACGCUCGCACCCUACGUAUUACCGCGGCGGCUGGCAC
Molecule: ribosomal RNA, 292 nt
Filed under: uncultured bacterium
Lineage: Bacteria
Description: partial 16S ribosomal RNA
Source: RNAcentral